This 182-nucleotide non-coding RNA is filed under the name Bombus terrestris (buff-tailed bumblebee). The record is from RNAcentral. Lineage: Eukaryota; Metazoa; Arthropoda; Insecta; Hymenoptera; Apidae.
UUGUAGCAUGAAAGGAGAGACGUUUAACGCUUCCCUAGACAAGGAUGGAACACAUAUAUAAAUGGAUUCUACCAAAUGUCCAAAUUGGACAAAUUGAGAAUGAAAAGUAUUAAAUAAAAAAAAAAAAAGUUAUAAAUGGUAAGGCACUGUCGCCUUUCGCCGGCACUUACCAGAUUUUUUUU